UUUGUCUUCCAAAUCUUGAGCCAGGGAGGGUCAAUGCAACAUGAUGGUUGGGUCGUCAAGUUGAUGGUUCGGUCAUAUAGAGGGAUCUAUUUUUAGACGUACUGCCAUUGUCUCUCAAGCACCCUUAUUCAUCCCCAUUCAUUCAGGAACCAACUUACAUAGGAGAGGUAGGUAAGAGUCACAGUUGCAACAUACUUACCCAACAGGGCAUGGGGA
Molecule: long non-coding RNA, 216 nt
Organism: Gavialis gangeticus (Gharial)
Lineage: Eukaryota; Metazoa; Chordata; Crocodylia; Gavialidae
Exons: 3
Source: RefSeq, a predicted model, not a curated record